UUCUGCCAUUGUUCGUGGAAGAAUUCCUAGUUCUGACUCAUACCCUAUUCAUUUGAACAGGAGCUGGUCAGAGAGAAAAAAAUCUGCAGCUGGUUUCUCUUAAACAGUGUUUUAACUGUGAUUGUUUUUCUUUUUCAGUAGCAGCUCACAGGUCUGGAGCUAUUUUUCUUCUUUUGGGCUGGAAAUUUACCCCAAUCUCACUUCUGACGCAAUAUUUCAAAUACACAACAUGAAAGUGUGUUCAAUACAAGGAGUUUAUUGCAGUGAAGAUGCAAUAUGUGCCGACAGGGUAUGUGGUCAUAGUGCAGGUCACGUGACUACAGAAACUUAUGGUAGACAAUUGUACGUGAUUGCAUUUCGAUGUAACCAAAGACAAAUGCCCUGAAAUUGUUUAAGAACAAAUUGUAGGAUGAAUAAAUUUAGAUAUGUGGCAUGAUCUUUCUAAUCCAUAUUUUUUUUUACAGACUACCAUGUUACCUUCGGAAUUGCUUCCAAGCCAUCAGCAGAAGUAACAGCACAUAAACGACAAUUUCCCUCAUAAUUAAGGAAACAUUUGAGGAGCUCAUUGCAGGAUGGAGUCAGGUCUGUUCUUCCAUAUGCAGAACAGUGGUGGCCAUGGGCUGACUAAGUCCCAAGAAAUAGUAGAAAAGAAGAUUGAUGGAGCACUCCAGCCCAGCUAUUAGUUGAUUUUGCAACCCUACAACAUCAAUACAUUGCCUUCAGCCACUUCCUGAUGGAUGGCCUGAUAAUAUUUUAUGUUGGUGUAAAAUGGACUGAAAAUACAUCGUAAUUAAUUGCUCAUCUUGAUUUAGUGGCAUUAAACAGCACUUCAGUUCUAGAUUUAGAUCGAUAUUUUACUAUCUUGAUAUCCUCAA
Non-coding RNA from Chiloscyllium plagiosum (whitespotted bambooshark), 875 nucleotides. The record is from RefSeq and is a predicted model, not a curated record. Lineage: Eukaryota; Metazoa; Chordata; Chondrichthyes; Orectolobiformes; Hemiscylliidae.